AAUGGGCGAAAGCCUGACGCAGCAACGCAGCGUGAGUGAUGAAGGCCUUCGGGUCGUAAAGCUCUGUCAGAAGGGAAGAAAUGGAAGGGUGUUAAUACCAUCUUUUCUUGACGGUACCUUCAAAGGAAGCACCGGCUAACUCCGUGCCAGCAGCCGCGGUAACACGUAAGGGGCGAGCGUUGUUCGGAAUUAUUGGGCGUAAAGGGCGCGUAGGCGGUCUUGUAAGCGCGGCGUGAAAACCUGGAGCUCAACUCCGGGCCUGCGCUGGGAACUGCGGGACUAGAGUCAUGGAAGGGAAGUUGGAAUUCCAGGUGUAGGGGUGAAAUCUGUAGAUAUCUGGAAGAACACCGGUGGCGAAGGCGAACUUCGGGCCAAUGACUGACGCUGAGGCGCGAAAGUGCGGGGAGCAAA
RNAcentral lists this ribosomal RNA (411 nucleotides) under uncultured bacterium. RNAcentral's name for it is "bacterial SSU rRNA". It matches the Rfam family "Bacterial small subunit ribosomal RNA", at positions 370 to 772 of the family's 1533-position model. The record is from RNAcentral.